Molecule: long non-coding RNA, 566 nt
Filed under: Heterocephalus glaber (naked mole-rat)
Lineage: Eukaryota; Metazoa; Chordata; Mammalia; Rodentia; Bathyergidae
Description: lncRNA (ENSHGLG00100048811.1)
Source: RNAcentral
CCAGAUCCCAAAGCCCCUUUUCCCUUCUCCUGGUGGCCACUGGGUGUCUGUCCCCGGCCACGCUCUCUCUCUGCAGAGUGUACUUUUUUACCUUCAUUCUCAUAGUGGUCAUGAGCUAGACAGUUAAACCCAGCACAGUAUCUGCCACUAACCUGGCCAUGGAACGGACCACUUUAGGCUCUGCCAGGUACAAGAAAACUUCCAGCCACUGUGCAGGUUCCCUGCGUGCAAGCUAGAGGCCCCGUGACGCCCGUGACUCACCAUGGGAAACACCUGUAGAUCCCAGCAACCUCAUCUUUAGGUUUAAAAAUGGAAACGGUUUGACCUCGGUGAUCUGAGAAAAAACAGCUUACCUUCUACUGCACCACUGUUUGGCUCCUCUAUUGACUAGGAAGUGGACGGAUGGGUACAGGAUGGCAGUCUGAACUACAGUGCUCUUUUGCAUUGGAUCUUUCCUGCAAAAGGCAAGGAAAGUGGACGGAAGUCCCUCUGUCCAGGCUUUCACUGCUCUUUAUCCGAAACCAUUCCUCUGCAAAGGCCCAGGAGAUGCGGUGCUUCGAGAGACC